Molecule: long non-coding RNA, 332 nt
Filed under: Panax ginseng (ginseng)
Lineage: Eukaryota; Viridiplantae; Streptophyta; Magnoliopsida; Apiales; Araliaceae
Description: long non-coding RNA (PGIN_LNC005369)
Source: RNAcentral
UUGAGAAUCUGUAGCUCACCCUCCUACUGGUAGCAAUACUGGCUCCUUCGUUUGCCUUCUUCUCCACUGCAUAAGGUAAUCAAACAGACGUACAUAAGAUAUAUGCAAAAUCUAUAGAGAGAAAAAAGAGAGCCACACAGAACGUUAUCAUGUUCAACUACCUCUAUUAUGUAUAAUCCUACUUCUUUUGCAAGCUCUUCUUUCCUGAGCUUAGAGCACCCACUCAUUUUGUAUUGCCUUGCAAUUUGCUUUAGCUGCUUUACUGUCAAGGAAUUCAGGUCUGAGAUACUCGGUUCUGGAUGAGGCUCAGUAGAGCAAGACAAUGACUUCAG